AAGUCUCCCCUCGAGAGCGGGCCGAUCACACCCUUUGUGAACCACACUCUGUUGCUUCGGGGCGACCCUGCCGUCAGGGGCGGUCUUCAACUAAACUCUGCAUCUUUUGCUCGGAGUCUUUUAAAGAAUUAAACAAAACUUUCAACAACGGAUCUCUUGGUUCUGGCAUCGAUGAAGAACGCAGCGAAAUGCGAUAAGUAAUGUGAAUUGCAGAAUUCAGUGAAUCAUCGAAUCUUUGAACGCACAUUGCGCCCCGUGGUAUUCCGCGGGGCAUGCCUGUUCGAGCGUCAUUUCACCACUCAAGCCUAGCUUGGUAUUGGGCGCCGCGGCGAUCUCCAUCGCUGCGCGCCUUAAAGUCUCCGGCUGAGCAGUCUGUCUCCGAGCGUUGUGACACAUGUCGCUAGGGAGUGCAGGUCUGCCGCGGCCGUUAAAUCUUUAUCAAAGG
This 445-nucleotide small RNA is filed under the name Mycosphaerella sp. 2037 FePP. Its description in RNAcentral is "eukaryotic LSU rRNA". The stretch from base 137 to 290 matches the Rfam family "5.8S ribosomal RNA". The record is from RNAcentral. Lineage: Eukaryota; Fungi; Ascomycota; Dothideomycetes; Mycosphaerellales; Mycosphaerellaceae.